Molecule: non-coding RNA, 599 nt
Organism: Poecilia reticulata (guppy)
Lineage: Eukaryota; Metazoa; Chordata; Actinopteri; Cyprinodontiformes; Poeciliidae
Source: the annotation of a RefSeq genome assembly
GGUUCUGGAGCCUCAGACUGUGUGAAUGCUGGAGGUGGAACCAAGAUGACGUUUGGUACCGGAACCAGUUUGACCAUCGAACCCAAGGAAGAAAUUGAGCCGGAUUAUUACAAGCUGGAACAUGAAGACACCCCAGUUUGUCUGGCAACUGGAUUUACUCGACACAAUGGAGCAGAGAAUGAACCUGGGUUUAACAAUUCAAAGGCCAGUCAGAUAACAGAUCUCAGUGGGAAACCAAGAGGCGUCUACAGCCAGGUGGCCUUUCUGACAGAUGGACAAACAUGUGGAGAUGAUGAUGAGAAGCCAAAAGUCCAGUGUGACGCCAGUCUGGAACCAGAUGAGAUGGUGAAUCUGGCCUCCAUUACCAUCUUCGGCCUGAGAGUCAUCUUCAUGAAGACGGUGGCCUUCAACGUCCUGAUGACGCUGCGGCUGUGGAUGAGUCAGUGAUUUGUUGAGGAGGAAGGAAACGUCUCGAACCGGACCGAUCAGAUCCGGACCGAUCCGACCCGAUUCGAUCCGACUCGAUCUGGACCGAUCCAACCUGAUCCAGACCGAUCCGAUCCUGACCGAUCGACCCGAUCCGAUCCGGACCGAUCCGA